UCCUUCUUUUGCAUACAUUUUCUUACAAACAAAAUAGAGUACGUGUGUGAUCUUAUUACUAACUUUUGAGUUCGUCGAAGUUAUGGAUGUUUGAGAUGUUGCUGCUUCUUAAAUAGUUUAUCCAUUUUAUCUAGGGAGGAAAUAAUUCACAACCUCGAGUAUAAUGAGAGAAUUAAAUUCUUUAAGUACACGCAAGGAAUUUUGUAGACUCUGAUAGCU
RNAcentral lists this long non-coding RNA (219 nucleotides) under Solanum tuberosum (potato). RNAcentral describes it as "long non-coding RNA (STUB_LNC008921)". Lineage: Eukaryota; Viridiplantae; Streptophyta; Magnoliopsida; Solanales; Solanaceae. The record is from RNAcentral.